ACACAAACCGGCCGCGCGUCCAAUACAUGACCUACAAGUAGGCCCCCCUGAUAUUUCCUGACGUCUUUCCUUGAAGUUUCAAGAAGUUGUUCAGCGGCCUGCGUGAUUCGAUUGAUUCGAGCAGACGAAUGCUAGCUCUACUGUCAUGAUUUGACCGAGCCUGGUACCGCUGUGAAUACGAUUCCGCAGGUCACGCUUUGGGAGACAAAUGGCCUGCUUCUCACCACCCAUUAUUCUCCUUGGGACCGCCACCUCCCUGGACUUUCCAAGACAUCGCCGCCGAUGCUGCCUGGAUCUUGCCCGAGUAGGACAUGAUCUACACAAGCCCAAGUUCUGAAGAGAAACCAGCUGAAGCCUUUCCCCUUUUGACACUGUAUGAAGAUUCAUUGACUUUAAUACCUUGCAUCCAUUGACGUUCUUGUGUGGAUAUUUCAGUGGUCACCCAAAUACUCUAGACAUUUCCAAACCGUUACCAUUUGUCAAUAAUUUUCCCUUUUUCCCCAAUUUGAGACUUGUUGAUGUCGCCUGUGUUGCUUUCAGUUCAUCCAUUUUGUUUCCACCACUGAAACACAACACAUUGAAUACCGGUAGUUGAUUUCCGUAUUUUGUUGUUCUGUUCUUGAUCGCUGUGUGUAUGAUUGAUUUACAUGUAUGUGACGACAUCUCCAGAAAUUAGGAUAAGUCUGAAGAACUUCUGAUAUGUUUUCUUUCUUUUAGAGGUGAAGUUUGUGAAUUAUCAUCUUUGGAAAAUAAUUUUGUCGUCUUAUGCAGGAAAUGUGUGUUCCAAAAGAACGGCUCAGUUCUUUUUAGCCAAAGGGAAUAAAGUGCUAAUCACAAAUUGCAGCUUUCUUUGACUUGUUUCAUAUAUAUGAAUUAGAAUCUGACCCAAUUUUCAUUUGUAGUUUUAUUCAUUUUCCCUUGCCCUCCAGUGGCUCUGUCACAGGUGGAAUGUGAUUUUUUUCAGAAAUAGCGAAGUUAUGCUUUGACAAGGUUUUGGAUGAUCAUUAAAAAAGAUAAAAAUCAAUGCUUAAUUCCAACAACUUCAAAUUUGCAAAAGUUUGCAACACAUUGAAAACAAAAUUACACUUAAUUAGUUUGCAUGGUCAAAGGAAAGUAAUGAGUUUUUUCAAAUUGCCAAAAGCAAAAAAAGUAACUUUUAAAGCAGUGAACAAAAUCAAAUAAAACUUAAUGAUUCCAUACCAAAAUAAUUGAAAUAAACAGUUGUAAUUGUUUCCUUAAACACUUUAAGCUGAGCCCCAGCCCUGCAUGUUACAAACAAUACAGACUUGUGGAUAUAAACUUACAGAAAGCUUGAGAGUGCCAGGCCGGAGAACCUCCAGUCUUGACCGAUUUAAGGAAAAGUGUAGCACAGAAGUUAAACUACAGGUUUCAUUGAUUCAUUAUGGUGGGUGUGGUGGUGGGCAUGCAUUAUGCUUUGCAGGUAGCUUGAGAUAGAACCUUCAGAACUGUCUUGGCCUUCAGCGCUGUCUCAUCAGGUACACCUUCAGUGUACUCACAGCCCAAGCUCUCCCCACCGUGUCAGUGUGGCGCUCUAAUGAAUCUUAGCAUUCUAGGCCUUCUGUACCAACUACUUUACAAAGGAAGCUUCAAUGCAAGUUUGCCUGGGGCAUUCAUUCAAAAAGUACUCUGGCCUUUCCAUUCAGUUGUAUUUGCAGUUUUAUUCAGUUGUAUUUUUUCAUCACUGGACAGGUUGCAUGCUAUCAAGAACUACAAGUGGUAAAUAAAAAUCUUACACACAAAAGAAAAAACGUAGGGGAAAAAUCUGCGUAAUUGGGGCUGUUGACAGGCUCUUCAUACAUUUUUUAUGUUGGUCCUCAUUUCCAUUCAUGUGUUUAAUUUCACUUCAAAGGCCAGGGAAUUGUUUUGGGUGCCUGUUGCACCACACAUUUAAACGAUUGAAUUCCUACAUGCUUUUACUUUUAGAUGAACUUGAAACUUGUGAGAUGGCGUUGAAAUUUGAGCAACCAAGAUUUCAAACUUACUAGAUUCUUGGCACAAUCAAAACUUUACAUGUAUGUCAAGCAACUGUGCAGAGAUGUUUGAGUCAACCUUCAGUGGAGUCCUUAACAACGUUUUCAAAGAAUUGUUGAACACAGAGUUCCCCUGGGGUACUGAUCUGUGUGAGGUGGUCAAACAAGUUUGCCAAAAUUCUAGUGCCUAAAACAAAAGCAAGUGUUUUCAAAAAGACCUGAAAUAAAUUCUGUAUAGUCUAAUAGUACAUUUACUCCAAAUUUUCCCUCUAAAAUAAAUCAAUCUUAUUUUCUGUGUUCCUCUUUACUGUUUCAAAAUAUCUAAGUUAUUUUGCUUUUUCCUUCUGUCUUUGUUGUAGUGUGAGGUGGUAAAUUCAAUAAAAAAGACUGAGGUGGCCACUCAAAUCAGUAAGGCGGGCCCUCUCACAGUUGAAUAGGCAGGGAAAACCCUGGUUGAACAUUCAAAAACAAAAACACAGUUCAUUCAUUUGCCACGAUGCUGUAGUUUUACUCUGUAAAGGCUUAUGAUUAUGCGAGAGAAACAUUUGACCUUGCUGUGCCUCAUCAUCGUACAAUUAGAACAUGGUACAGUAGUGUAGAAGGGGACCCUGGAUUCACAAAGCAAGCAUUUGAUGCUCUCAAAGCUAAUGCCAAUGACAACUUGGCACAGGAAAAGGACCGAGACUGUUCAGUUAUGUUCAAUGAGAUGGCAAUACGUAAACAUGUUGAAUGUGCAAAAGGUAGUAUAGAGGUUACGUAGACAUUGGUUCAGGUUGGUUCAGUGACUCCACACCAGUACCAAAAGAUGCUUUAGAUUUUAUGGCAGUGUCAGCUAAUGAAGGUUAGAAAAUACCGUGUGACUAUUUUCUUGUAGAUGGCUUAAGUGGAAGAACAAGCAAAUCUGGUCGAUGAGUGUUUUUGUAGACUUUAUGAUAGUGGUAUAUGAGCAGUGUCUCUAACUUGUGAUGAGCCAUCAUGUCAUUUUGCAAUGAUGAAAUCCCUUGGGGCAAACAUGAAUGUGCUUGGUUUGGAUCUAUCAUUUCCUCAUCCAUCUGAUCAUUCAAUUCGAGUUCAUAUCAUUUUUGAUGCAUACCAUUUGUUGAAGUUGCUCUGCAAUUUAUUUGCAGACAUGGGGGUUUUCAAAACCUCAGAUAGUCAGACCAUAAAUUGGCAGUGUAUAGAAGAGCUCAAUAAUCUUCAAGAAAAAGAGGGACUUCGAUUAGGUAAUGAACUAAAAAGUGCACAUAAUGACUAGCAAAGACCAAAAAAUGAAGGUCAAUUUGGAGCACAGGUAUUUAGUGCAAGUGUAGCAGAUGCCCUAUGGUAUUGCAAAGAGGGUUGAAGCUCCCUCCAUUUGGAGGGAUCACAGUUUGAUUUUUACUGAAUGUUGAUGCUGCGUUUGAUGUGCUUAACAGCAAGAAUCCUCUGGGCGAAGGUGCUAAAGUUCAUAUUAGAAAAGAAAAUGCAAAUAAAUUGCUUAAGAUCUUAGGAGAUGCUGAACACUUCAUUCUACGUCUGUUAGAGAAACCAAACAUGUUAGAUAUCAAAUUGGAAAAUUGUUCACAUACACAUGGUCUGCUCCUUUUUCUGCUGCCUGGGAAGCCAUAUCCGCAAAUGCAAGUCCCAGUUACAGCCAAGACUAGCAUGUCAACCUUUGGAAGCCACUUGCCCAAAAAUGUAGUCGUUUGUCAUUCCCAAGCAAGAGUGCAUCGGACUGGGAUAAACUGUCAUUUUGUCCUGCAAAGGUGGAACAUGUCCUGCCCAGAUUCACUUGUUACUUAGGGACUUCAAUGUUGACUUUCACUCCAGAGCAGCUGAAUCAUAGUCUGAUCGGGCCUCCUUAGUUGACAUGUUUGAGUUUACUGACUCAUUAAAUUUAAUACUACCGGUACUUGUCACAGAUGUUACUAGGCUAUCUAGCAAUAUUUAUUCUUUGGGUUCUGCUAUUUAUCUCAUUUCUGUGAUAUCGCAUGUAAAAUGUUCAAUGCUGAAUCUGUAGCUAAUUCAGUCUUAGGUGAUUAUCAUGCUGUGCAAUUUAUGUUUUGUGCAAACAAAUGUUUGCCUCGUUCUUCUUAUAUACGACAAUUUUUAGCCAACAGGUAUACUCUUGUAGCUAUUAACGACUUGAACCUCUUAUUUAUGGCUAUAAAUGAUGCUGAUUCCUCAUGGGAGGGUUUUUGGGAUAUUGUAAAUGCAGCUGUUAAGAUUCGAUUCCAUGUUCACAUAAAAAAGCUAAACGUACAAACUGUGCUUGGUUGACUCCUGAGUUUAAGCGCUUGUUAGAUCUUAAACGUAAACUAAAUAGAAAUGCCAAGUUGUUUAAAUGUUUUGAAUGACUGGAAAUUGUAUAAGUUAGUAUGCAAUUGUUGAAUAUUCUACACGUAAAAUACACAAGACAUUCAUUGAGCACAUGUUCUUUUAAUUGUAGCAAUAACAAAACUGUUAUGGUCUUUUCUGCAAAGCACGAAACGAUCCCCAAAUUCACCUUCUUUAAAGCAUGGUUCCUAAAUUUGUGUAGAUCCUCUCAAAAUAGCUUGUGCUUUCCCCAUUUUUUUCUGUUGCCAACUCACUUUGUGAAGUCCUCUAGUAUGUGACUUUCCCAUUCCUGACACUUCUACGACUGUUUAUUUAUUGAUGUUCAGUGCAUCAUUCGUUCCCUCGCCCUUGGGAAGGCCCCUGAACCUGAUGGGAUUAGUGUCCAGUUUUUGGGUAAUACAGUUGAACACUA
This 4719-nucleotide long non-coding RNA is filed under the name Acanthaster planci (crown-of-thorns starfish). Its description in RNAcentral is "uncharacterized LOC110986827". The record is from RNAcentral. Lineage: Eukaryota; Metazoa; Echinodermata; Asteroidea; Valvatida; Acanthasteridae.